AUUGAACGCUAGCUACAGGCUUAACACAUGCAAGUCGGGGGGUAACGAGAGGAAAGCUUGCUUUCCUUGUCGACGACCGGCGCACGGGUGAGUAACGCGUAUCCAACCUGCCCCCAACUAGGGAAUAACCUUGCGAAAGUAAGACUAAUACCCUAUAAUUUCCUCAGAUGUCAUCUGACGAGGAAUAAAGAUUUAUCGGUUGUGGAUGGGGAUGCGUCUGAUUAGCUUGUUGGCGGGGUAACGGCCCACCAAGGCAACGAUCAGUAGGGGUUCUGAGAGGAAGGUCCCCCACAUUGGAACUGAGACACGGUCCAAACCCCUACGGGAGGCAGCAGUGAGGAAUAUUGGUCAAUGGGCGGAAGCCUGAACCAGUCAAGUAGCGUGCAGGAUGACGGCCCUAUGGGUUGUAAACUGCUUUUAUACAGGAAUAAAGUUAGCCACGUGUGGUUAUUUGUAGGUACUGUAUGAAUAAGGACCGGCUAAUUCCGUGCCAGCAGCCGCGGUAA
RNAcentral lists this ribosomal RNA (506 nucleotides) under uncultured bacterium. RNAcentral describes it as "partial 16S ribosomal RNA". It matches the Rfam family "Bacterial small subunit ribosomal RNA", at positions 30 to 523 of the family's 1533-position model. The record is from RNAcentral.